This 549-nucleotide ribosomal RNA is filed under the name uncultured bacterium. Its description in RNAcentral is "bacterial SSU rRNA". It matches the Rfam family "Bacterial small subunit ribosomal RNA", at positions 355 to 896 of the family's 1533-position model. The record is from RNAcentral.
UGGGGAAUAUUGGACAAUGGGCGAAAGCCUGAUCCAGCCAUGCCGCGUGUGUGAAGAAGGCCUUUUGGUUGUAAAGCACUUUAAGUGGGGAGGAAAAGCUUAUGGUUAAUACCCAUAAGCCCUGACGUUACCCACAGAAUAAGCACCGGCUAACUCUGUGCCAGCAGCCGCGGUAAUACAGAGGGUGCAAGCGUUAAUCGGAAUUACUGGGCGUAAAGCGCGCGUAGGUGGUUAUUUAAGUCAGAUGUGGAAGCCCCGGGCUUAACCUGGGAACUGCAUCUGAUACUGGAUAACUAGAGUAGGUGAGAGGGGAGUAGAAUUCCAGGUGUAGCGGUGAAAUGCGUAGAGAUCUGGAGGAAUACCGAUGGCGAAGGCAGCUCCCUGGCAUCAUACUGACACUGAGGUGCGAAAGCGUGGGUAGCAAACAGGAUUAGAUACCCUGGUAGUCCACGCCGUAAACGAUGUCUACCAGUCGUUGGGUCUUUUAAAGACUUAGUGACGCAGUUAACGCAAUAAGUAGACCGCCUGGGGAGUACGGCCGCAAGGUUA